Molecule: ribosomal RNA, 629 nt
Filed under: Variovorax sp. GLT-Slr-61
Lineage: Bacteria; Pseudomonadati; Pseudomonadota; Betaproteobacteria; Burkholderiales; Comamonadaceae
Description: bacterial SSU rRNA
Rfam family: Bacterial small subunit ribosomal RNA
Source: RNAcentral
CGGCAGCGCGGGAGCAAUCCUGGCGGCGAGUGGCGAACGGGUGAGUAAUACAUCGGAACGUGCCCAAUCGUGGGGGAUAACGCAGCGAAAGCUGUGCUAAUACCGCAUACGAUCUACGGAUGAAAGCAGGGGAUCGCAAGACCUUGCGCGAAUGGAGCGGCCGAUGGCAGAUUAGGUAGUUGGUGGGGUAAAGGCUCACCAAGCCUUCGAUCUGUAGCUGGUCUGAGAGGACGACCAGCCACACUGGGACUGAGACACGGCCCAGACUCCUACGGGAGGCAGCAGUGGGGAAUUUUGGACAAUGGGCGAAAGCCUGAUCCAGCCAUGCCGCGUGCAGGAUGAAGGCCUUCGGGUUGUAAACUGCUUUUGUACGGAACGAAACGGCUCUUUCUAAUAAAGAGGGCUAAUGACGGUACCGUAAGAAUAAGCACCGGCUAACUACGUGCCAGCAGCCGCGGUAAUACGUAGGGUGCAAGCGUUAAUCGGAAUUACUGGGCGUAAAGCGUGCGCAGGCGGUAAUGUAAGACAGUUGUGAAAUCCCCGGGCUCAACCUGGGAACUGCAUCUGUGACUGCAUUGCUGGAGUACGGCAGAGGGGGAUGGAAUUCCGCGUGUAGCAGUGAAAUGCGU